UACCCACAUUAUUUCCCUAUUCCCAAGUACAGUUCAAAUACUCUAAGCUCCCAACCUAGUCCCCAUCCUAACUAAAUGGGUUUGCACUCAAACCAAUUAAACCAUUAGGUCCCAACUGUCCCCAAAAGUCCAGACAGAUUUUACUAUUCGCCAUAAAUGUUGGCACCUCCAAAAACUCCCACUCCUCAAUUUUCCUCCUUUCCACCUUAAUUCCAAGUCUCAUGUCCUGCAAGGGAACUCUCCCUUCAGUCAGUUCAAAACCACCCUGUACCCAGUCAACACCUUUCUCAAAUUCAGAAGUGUCAUCAUAAAAUAAAUUCAUCAAGUGAAUACUACAUCGCUUCUCCAGUUUUCUCUACAUUAUAAAGAAAAACAUUGUUUCUUCGGAACACAACAUAAUUCUGGCGACGAGGAUUGGGAUGUCCAGCACUCUAAAGCAGUGAAUUGAAGUGGAACUGGCAAUUCUACCCUGUGGACCGAGUGGCAGCUAUCAAGUUGCUGAGAACGUGGACAUCGUUGGAGACAAACUGAAGGACUAUCGCGAGCUAAGGAAAUCUCUGCAGUUUGGUUGAACACACUGGAACUAGCAACUCCAGCACCGAUCGCAACGAAUCGUUUCCGCAAUGAAUCAAACAAUCCUGAUUCUAUUCCUACUUCCUCUCCUAAUUAAUUGUAAAGACUUUUAUUCUUUUUAUCCUUUUGAAAAUACAAGUGGUAUCUUUUAUAAUAAAAAGGGAAUCGUUCAAAUCACUAACUCCAAAUUAACUCUUCUCACUUAUCUCAAUAGAACUCAUCUCAGAGACACAUUCGAUAUCAUUAAUAAAUAUUUAAGUAAAACUGAAGAAAUUUGUAAACAGACGACGAAUGAAAUUACUAAAAAGAGUAAUAUCAGUUUCCAUUGUGAUCAUUCAAUUGAUCUUAUUAAAUCAGAAAUGACAGAAAUUAAAAUAAAGAAUGAUAUUCUUCGACAAAUGACUGAGAGAUCAAUUAUCAGAAGAAAGAAACGUGGUCUCAUCAAUGGAUUGUCUUAUAUAUUCAAAUGGAGUUUCGGCAUGCCUAACGCAGACGAUGCCCAAUAUUAUGAAAAUUCAAUAAAAAUGUUGACAAAUAAUAACAAACAAACACAGACAUUGCUGAAAUCACAAGUUCAAAUAAUUGCAAACGCAAUUAGAAAUUUCAAUAACUCCUUGUUUUCCCUUGAGAGUCAAGAGAAAGCAAUGAAUGAAAAUAUUCAGAAAAUUAAUUCUUUCACCGCCCAGACAAACUCUUACAUAUCUCAUUUAGAAAUGAUAACGACACUCAAUCAACAAAUCACUAUACUCCAUAUACUUGUUACUCAAGCAAACCGCGAAUUUUCUAAGUAUAUCGAAGCUGUUAAUUUAGCUGACCAUAAUAUCGUCUCUCCUUUUCUCCUAACCCCACAAAUGUUACAUGACGAGUUAAAAAGAUACAAAAAUAUCCACGAACUAAUAAUGGACCCAAAUUUAGAAAAUAUCCAUCACUUUUUCAAGCUUUUACAUUUACAAAUUAUGUCUACAAAAGACAAUAUCAUUUUUGCAUUACAAAUCCCACUUGUGGACAAAAUGAAAUUUGAACUCUAUGAAAUAAUCCCAAUUCCUAUCCAACAUAAUAAUUCACAAUUUUUCUCCUACAUUAUGCCUCAAAGCAAUUACCUCCUAUUAUCACAAUCUCGAUCCCAAUACACUUUCCUUAACGGAUUGUCUGAUUGUCAUGAGUACCAAGAUGAACAAUACAUCUGCUAUCACCUGCAUACGAUGACUUCAACUAGCAAUCCAACGUGUGAAAUCGAGCUGCUAUCUCCACAUACGACAAAGAUUCCAGCAUCAUGUACAACUAAAACCAUCAAGGCAACCAUCGAAACCUGGCAUCAUAUCGGAAGGAAUCAAUGGAUUUAUAUCCUCCAGAAACCAACAACGCUUACGAUUAUGUGCGGAGAGAAUGAAAAUCACCUAGAAGAUGUCAUUCUCCAAAAGAGUGGAUUAAUCCAAUUGGAACCCGAAUGCCGAGGUUACACAGACCAGAUCGUCAUUGAAUCAACACGCGACAGCACGAAAAACACGACUUAUUAUAUUCCUCAUAUGAAUAUAAUCGCUGACGACUGUUGUAUCCUGCAGACUCAUUUCAGUACCAUUGAGUCCAUUACGCUGAAGCCAAUUCAUCUAACCAACAUCGACCUCAAGGACCUCCAGAUAGCUGAUAAAAAACUCAACGAGUUCGACGAAAUUAUCACAAAACAAAUGAACGAACCAUUCAUUGUCACCCAUACUAGAUGGUAUAAUGUCGCCCUUGGGAUCAUCGCAGCAUUCAUCAUUAUUAUCAUUAUUUUUCGUUGCUGCAAAUGUUUUGGACAAAUUGAUUUUUUCCAUCGUCUCCGUUAUCCUAUUACGAAUCCGAGGAACCGUGAAACGAAUCCUCCACUCAUCAGUAAUUUCGUGAAUUGUAUUUUUGACUCAUCAGAACCAUCAUCUACAUCAGUCAAUGAAAUAGUGACCUACCGACCAAGACAGGAUGUACCUGCUGUCCCUCAUCGAAUACCUGAAAUUUCGGAUGACGACGAAGUCCCACCAAUUAUUCGUUUUCCAACGCGCCAACGACCUCGUAGAAGCACAACACCAAUUUAAUUUAAUAUUUAAACUUUUUGAAUUCACAUCUAAUCUUUUAAGCACAUUUACAUUUGACUAAAUCUUAGAGUCUUUUAUCAGUUACGAAUCUUAGAUUUACAAUUCUAUCAAUUAAUUCAUCUAUUAUUGUAAUUCAAAAUAUCUUAUUCAAUUUUAUGAUUUAUCCUUUAUAAUUCAAUGUAUGUUAUUCAAUUUUAUGAUUUAUCCUUUAUAAUUCAAUUUAUCUUGUUCGAUUUUAUGAUUUAUCUUUUAUAAUUCAAUAUUAUUAUAAUUCAAUGUAUCUUAUUCAAUUUUAUGAUUUAUCCUUUAUAAUUCAAUUUAUCUUAUUCGAUUUUAUGUUUUAUCUUUUAUAAUUCAAUAUUAUUGUAAUUCGAUGUAUCAUUUGUUAACUCUCCGUUAACAAACUUAAGGAGGAAGGUGUUGUAUACCCACAUUAUUUCCCUAUUCCCAAGUACAGUUCAAAUACUCUAAGCUCCCAACCUAGUCCCCAUCCUAACUAAAUGGGUUUGCACUCAAACCAAUUAAACCAUUAGGUCCCAACUGUCCCCAAAAGUCCAGACAGAUUUUACUAUUCGCCAUAAAUGUUGGCACCUCCAAAAACUCCCACUCCUCAAUUUUCCUCCUUUCCACCUUAAUUCCAAGUCUCAUGUCCUGCAAGGGAACUCUCCCUUCAGUCAGUUCAAAACCACCCUGUACCCAGUCAACACCUUUCUCAAAUUCAGAAGUGUCAUCAUAAAAUAAAUUCAUCAAGUGAAUACUA
Diachasmimorpha longicaudata is the source of this 3402-nucleotide long non-coding RNA. RefSeq lists it as uncharacterized. Lineage: Eukaryota; Metazoa; Arthropoda; Insecta; Hymenoptera; Braconidae. The transcript is spliced from 2 exons. The record is from RefSeq and is a predicted model, not a curated record.